Molecule: non-coding RNA, 30 nt
Filed under: Homo sapiens (human)
Lineage: Eukaryota; Metazoa; Chordata; Mammalia; Primates; Hominidae
Source: RNAcentral
CAUUUCGUGACAAGAGUGACGUCCAUCGGG